Molecule: long non-coding RNA, 902 nt
Organism: Galeopterus variegatus (Sunda flying lemur)
Lineage: Eukaryota; Metazoa; Chordata; Mammalia; Dermoptera; Cynocephalidae
Exons: 5
Source: RefSeq, a predicted model, not a curated record
CCCGCCCAGGACCUGGCCAGGAUGGCGGCUUCCUUCCGCAGAGUCGUUCAUCCCCCGGGUGACGAGCGCGGAGCGGGGCCUCCGGGGUGCACGGUGCGGAGCGAGGGUACACCUUGUCCUUUCCUGCACAGGGGACUGCGCUGUCCUUUCAGGGACAUUCAGGGGUCUCUGGGGACUCUGGAGCAGCUUGCAGGCCGGUCUUGUGGUCCCGGUAAGAGCCCCGCAGCUCAUGGCUCUGUCCAGGGAGUUUUCAUGACACGUUUGGGAGCCCAAAGAGAGAAGGCUGCUGAGGAUACUGCCGGUUCAUUGUCAUCAACAGGGGGAGCCGGGGCGACCAGAGCUGGGCUUUGCAGUGAGGCGGCAGAGUCCCGUCUCUGCUCCUAACCAGACACACGUCGACGUCGCCGCUCACCAGAACGUGCUUAUAAUUUUAUGCAGUUAUCCAAAACAGUGACGCACAAGCUUUGGAGAAAGCCUAAGAAUUCUGCAGGUCCCGUGAGGACAUGCACAGAGCCCAGCAUACAAAGAUGUUCAGUAAAUAUUUUGUCCGGUCAGCCAGCGGAUAGUGGAUGGUGACAGGAAUGGAUAGUGAACAGGACCCUGCUCCAGCUGGAGUGCCGGCUGGGUGCAUGCCCCUUCUGCCCAGAGGGGACUGCCAAAAGAGGAACCUUCUGUCCCAGGCGGUGGUGAAAGGUUCCUGGUGACGCAGGCUUGUGAACAAGCUGAGAAGACGCUGCGCUGCAGGCCCGGAUGGGGCCCAACGAGCGAGCCCUGUCCCCAGGCCACAGCAUCCUCGAAGGCGCCUUCCUCGGGUUGCUACAGAAAUAACCCUCAGCCUGAGGUGGGGCAGGGCCUGGAAGCCUAGAGCCCCUUUGUCCGAGUGCACACCCUCCCUUUGCCCC